UAAAUUCUCAAAGUCUUCCCUCAGUGACAUACUUCCUCCAGCAGCCAGGAGCCCUGGAUGGUCGUGACUAUAGAUGACAUUCAGGUUAUGAGGAGAUCCUGAGAUUUGAAUUGAAGUCUUGCCAAGGCUAAGCACUCCAGUUAUCCCAGCACAACUUGUCCAGGAUGAUGAUGCAGAUUAAGCCAGUCUUGAAAAGGCAGAAUUGGUGAAACACUCUUGGAAGAGAUGAUGGCUUUGUUCUUGCCAAGCUGUCCCUAGAAUGGAUCUGACUUCUGAGACUGGAGUGCUGAGGUUUAAACUGAGGCUUUGUGAAUGUUAGUAUGGGACCUGGGACACAGAAAGCAGCAUCCAGGACCAAGUAGACAGUGAGCUUAGAUGUUUGAGUGUCUUCAGAAGCUCCAGAAGCCAUCAAAAACAGCAAACACCACUUGCCAGAACAAGAUGAGGGGUUCUGCAUGCUUUCUGCCACAGCUCAGCUGUGGCAAGGAGAGUGCAGUCAGCCAGGAUGCUCUGAGAGCCAGAGAGACAUGGCUUGAGGCUGCAUUCAACCUUGACAAGCCAAGCAGAGAUGCCACGAAGUGAGACAGGUGAACUGCAGGCAGUGGCUUGGAGAGCAGCAGCAGAAACUUCAGAACCUAGUGGCCAGAGCAGGUCUGUCACCCAGCGCCAGAAUUUCCGGUGGCCAAAGCCCAGCAAAGACUCCUCAGGAGAGACUAAAGGCAAGCAGCAGUGAGCAGCAGAAGCCUUGCAGAGAGACUGCUGACCCAGGCAGAGAAGCAGCAGUAGCAGCAGCUUGAUAAGAAGCACCCAGAUGAGCAACUUCAACCCAAGAGCCCAAGGACCUGUGGAGGUGAGAGCUGUGCUCUAGGUUGAACAGUCAAAUCGGGGCUCUGUGGGAACUGCUGAUACUGACGCAGCCCUAGCUCUCAGCAGCAGAAUGUGGGGCCCUGAAGCAGCAUUUGGCUUUGCAAACAAGGCAGCACACAGAGGACUUGAAGGCCACCGGCAGAUCAGGUAACAGAGCCGGGGUGCAGCAGCCAUGACUGACCAUGACUGGGAUUCCUCCCAGAGCCAGGGUUGCUGUAUGAAUGCCAUGGCUCAUAGCAACUGGGAGGAACCUUGAGCUCCUGGGGUGAGAGGCAUUUGAGAGCCUCUGGCCCCAGGAAUAGGACUGAAAAAAAAAAAAAGAGCAAGAUAAAGGCUUUGCUGCUAUUUGGUAUUCAAUAACUGGGACUGUGAAAGCCAACAGUCAAAGUGGUGCAGUUUCUGUUUGCUGGCUGUAAGAAGGUCUCUGAGAGAAUUCAAAGAUUUCUAUUGUGGAGCUAACAGCUUUAGCCCUGGAGCAAAUUGUCUAAGGGGAAGGCUACAGACUGCAAAGCACAGCUGUAGCUGAGAGCAAAAGUUUCAGAGAUGCUGGUUUGAACUGGGGUUGUUGGACACCAGGGAACUGCAAAAGGUUAUGAUAGUUGGGACAGUUAUACAAAGAUUUCAGGGCAGCUGAUGAGCCAGGCCCUGAUUUUGAACAUUUAAUGGAACUUUAAGACUGGUAUCAGAACUAAGUUUUUAAACUUUUCAGACUUAAGAAAUAGGAUGGAUAGGAGUGAUUCAGUUGCAAUGGGACAAUUUUGACUUUACCUACACAUAUAGAUUCUACCAACUGUGAUGAUUUAUGAGUUGUUUUGUGUAUACAUAUAUGCUUUAUUAACUGUGGUGACUCAUGAAUUGUUUUGUGUAGAAAUUAACCUUUUGUGUAAAAAUAGAACUGCUUGGUAUAGGUAUAGACAAAUUGUUUUUUCCAUACAGGCUCAAGAUGCAGCUUCAAAAAUUAUUUUAAAAAGGGGGGUGAGUUAAUAUUCCUGAGUCUCUUUAAUUUAAAAAAAAAAUAUUUCUUGUCCCUUGCUUGGACUAAUGUUAACUUGUGUUAAUGUACCCUAUGUUUUGUUGCAAAAAAUACAAAUAGUUCUUUUAAGAGAUUGUUUUUGGAUGUUUGCUAAAGUUUGUAAAGUAUAAAUAGUUCUAUUAAAACUUUGCUUUUGGAUAUGUUUAUAAAAA
This is a non-coding RNA of Peromyscus maniculatus bairdii (prairie deer mouse), 2052 nucleotides long. The record is from RefSeq and is a predicted model, not a curated record. NCBI's taxonomy places the organism in Eukaryota, Metazoa, Chordata, Mammalia, Rodentia, Cricetidae.